This 429-nucleotide ribosomal RNA is filed under the name Bacteroidota bacterium. RNAcentral describes it as "Bacteroidetes bacterium partial 16S ribosomal RNA". It matches the Rfam family "Bacterial small subunit ribosomal RNA", at positions 355 to 776 of the family's 1533-position model. Lineage: Bacteria; Pseudomonadati; Bacteroidota. The record is from RNAcentral.
UAGGGAAUCUUCCGCAAUGGACGCAAGUCUGACGGAGCAACGCCGCGUGAGUGAAGAAGGAUUUCGGUUCGUAAAACUCUGUUGUUAGAGAAGAACAGCGCAUAGAGUAACUGUUAUGCGUGUGACGGUAUCUAACCAGAAAGCCACGGCUAACUACGUGCCAGCAGCCGCGGUAAUACGUAGGUGGCAAGCGUUGUCCGGAUUUAUUGGGCGUAAAGCGAGCGCAGGCGGUCAAUUAAGUCUGAUGUGAAAGCCCCCGGCUCAACCGGGGAGGGUCAUUGGAAACUGGUUGCCUUGAGUGCAGAAGAGGAGAGUGGAAUUCCAUGUGUAGCGGUGAAAUGCGUAGAUAUAUGGAGGAACACCGGUGGCGAAAGCGGCUCUCUGGUCUGUAACUGACGCUGAGGCUCGAAAGCGUGGGGAGCGAACAGG